ACCAGUGUCAUUUUUUCCUGAUGAUGUACCUUCUUUGGACUUAAUCCGGGUUAUUAUCAUGCAUUCGAUUGCCCUGUCUGGCUACUAGGAAGUUGAUGGAGGAAAACCUCUUCAGUUCAGAGAAGAUGCUACCAUCACUGAUUUACUCUAUCACAGUUACCAUAUUUGGGUGCAGAAAUCCAGAUGAACAUAAUAUGAUAGUCAACAGAUGCAGUUUGGAUUUAUAGUGAAUACAGGAAAAAGUCCAGUCCUUCAUUCUGCUCAUUCUGGGCUCAUCCACUUUGGAUUCAAAUUACAUUGCUGACAGGUAUCAAUUAAGAUAAUAUUGGAUUUUGACAGAAAAGUGGCUCCUUAAUUCUGUUGUAAAAUAAGCAAUUCCUUCUUAUGAUAGAAGGAAGCUAGAUGAGAAACCAACUCACUGGCUGGUUUUUCACUACUUGCAAAAUCAUGAUCUGCAAUUUAUUGAACAUAUAGUUUUGAAAUCACAAUGUCUGGGUUUACAUGAAAAUAAACAUUUCGGCUUAGUGUGAUGUGAAAAACCAGUUGUAGUAAUCAGCUAAUAUAAGGCACAAAAACAGAAUUUAGAAUUUGGUGAAAGACACAGCACAACAACAAUUUUUCUGGGUUUUUUUGUUUUUUCAUUUAUUAGGAAGCGCAGUAAAACAAACAACAAUUACAACCAACUAAUUGCAUUUCAAGGCUUGCCCACCUCAUUCUCCCUGUUGCUUGAUAAAAAAGGCCAGCUGGCUUUUGAAACUGCCUUGCAGAUAUUUUUUUUUUUCCUUCUGCAUUCAAGAUUACAG
Non-coding RNA from Pantherophis guttatus, 803 nucleotides. The record is from RefSeq and is a predicted model, not a curated record. NCBI's taxonomy places the organism in Eukaryota, Metazoa, Chordata, Lepidosauria, Squamata, Colubridae.